GGGCGGAGCCAGAGGGGUGGCUUGGGGUGGCCCAAGCCACCCCUGAGAUUCGAUUGGCCACCCCAGGUGCCACCCCAAAAUCCUACUCUACGAUUGGCCAUUAACGUGGUCAAAGGCGGAACCUUUGUUGACGCACUUUGCUGCCUUUAAAUCAGCGCGGGAGCUUGGACAGUCAGACACCAGAACUCAGAAAUAUUUAGACAAGGGUGCUGGAGACACUUCAGAUCCUUAUAAGGGUCCCUCAUCAUCAUCUUGUCUCACUGGUUGUCCACGUGCAGCUACAAACCCAACCCCUGG
Molecule: long non-coding RNA, 297 nt
Organism: Carassius carassius (crucian carp)
Lineage: Eukaryota; Metazoa; Chordata; Actinopteri; Cypriniformes; Cyprinidae
Exons: 3
Source: RefSeq, a predicted model, not a curated record